Molecule: transfer RNA, 73 nt
Filed under: Caudoviricetes sp.
Lineage: Duplodnaviria; Heunggongvirae; Uroviricota; Caudoviricetes
Description: tRNA-Leu
Rfam family: tRNA
About the family: Transfer RNA (tRNA) molecules are approximately 80 nucleotides in length. Their secondary structure includes four short double-helical elements and three loops (D, anti-codon, and T loops).
Source: RNAcentral
UCCAGAAUAGUCAAAUGGUUAAGACAUUUCAACUCAAAAUGAAAAAUUAUCGGUUCGAAUCCGAUUUCCGGAG